CCAGACUCCUACGGGAGGCAGCAGUGGGGAAUAUUGCACAAUGGGGGAAACCCUGAUGCAGCGACGCCGCGUGAAGGACGAAGUAUUUCGGUACGUAAACUUCUAUCAGCAGGGAAGAAAAUGACGGUACCUGACCAAGAAGCCCCGGCUAACUACGUGCCAGCAGCCGCGGUAAUACGUAGGGGGCAAGCGUUAUCCGGAUUUACUGGGUGUAAAGGGAGCGUAGACGGCCGUGCAAGUCUGAUGUGAAAACCCGGGGCUCAACCCCGGGACUGCAUUGGAAACUGCAUGGCUGGAGUGUCGGAGAGGCAAGUGGAAUUCCUAGUGUAGCGGUGAAAUGCGUAGAUAUUAGGAGGAACACCAGUGGCGAAGGCGGUCUGCUGGACAGCAACUGACGCUGAGGCGCGAAAGCGUGGGGAGCAAACAGGAUUAGAUACCCCCGUAUA
Molecule: ribosomal RNA, 446 nt
Filed under: uncultured bacterium
Lineage: Bacteria
Description: bacterial SSU rRNA
Rfam family: Bacterial small subunit ribosomal RNA
Source: RNAcentral